GCGUACCUUUUGUAUAAUGGGUCAGCGACUUAUAUUCUGUAGCAAGGUUAACCGUAUAGGGGAGCCGGAGGGAAACCGAGUCUUAAUUGGGCGUUAAGUUGCAGGGUAUAGACCCGAAACCCGGUGAUCUAGCCAUGGGCAGGUUGAAGGUUGGGUAACACUAACUGGAGGACCGAACCGACUAAUGUUGAAAAAUUAGCGGAUGACCUGUGGCUGGGGGUGAAAGGCCAAUCAAACCGGGAGAUAGCUGGUUCUCCCCGAAAGCUAUUUAGGUAGCGCCUCGUGAAUUCAUCUCCGGGGGUAGAGCACUGUUUCGGCUAGGGGGCCAUCCCGGCUUACCAACCCGAUGCAAACUGCGAAUACCGGAGAAUGUUAUCACGGGAGACACACGGCGGGUGCUAACGUCCGUCGUGAAGAGGGAAACAACCCAGACCGCCAGCUAAGGUCCCAAAGUCAUGGUUAAGUGGGAAACGAUGUGGGAAGGCCCAGACAGCCAGGAUGUUGGCUUAGAAGCAGCCAUCAUUUAAAGAAAGCGUAAUAGCUCACUGGUCGAGUCGGCCUGCGCGGAAGAUGUAACGGGGCUAAACCAU
This 590-nucleotide ribosomal RNA is filed under the name Salmonella enterica. RNAcentral describes it as "partial 23S ribosomal RNA". It matches the Rfam family "Bacterial large subunit ribosomal RNA", at positions 599 to 1190 of the family's 2925-position model. The record is from RNAcentral. Lineage: Bacteria; Pseudomonadati; Pseudomonadota; Gammaproteobacteria; Enterobacterales; Enterobacteriaceae.